Long non-coding RNA from Oncorhynchus tshawytscha (Chinook salmon), 1060 nucleotides. The record is from Ensembl. Lineage: Eukaryota; Metazoa; Chordata; Actinopteri; Salmoniformes; Salmonidae.
CCUGUAUGUACCUGGUCCUGACCUGUAUGUACCUGGUCCUGGCCUAACCUUGUGUGUGGUUUGCUCUCUCAUGAUUUGGUAAUACAGGACAUUUCCACGACAAAUGACCAGGAAGUGGCUAGUUUAAUGACCAGGUAGUGGCUAGUUUAAUGACCAGGUGGGGGCUAGUUUAAUGACCAGGUGGUGGCUAGUUUAAUGACCAGGUAGUGGCUAGUUUAAUGACCAGGUAGUGGCUAGUUUAAUGACCAGGUAGUGGCUAGUUUAAUGACCAGGUAGUGGCUAGUUUAAUGACCAGGUAGUGGCUAGUUUAAUGACCAGGUAGUGGCUAGUUUAAUGACCAGGUAGUGGCUAGUUUAAUGACCAGGUAGUGGCUAGUUUAAUGACCAGGUGGGGGCUAGUUUAAUGACCAGGUGGGGGCUAGUUUAAUGACCAGGUAGUGGCUAGUUUAAUGACCAGGUAGUGGCUAGUUUAAUGACCAGGUGGUGGCUAGUUUAAUGACCAGGUAGUGGCUAGUUUAAUGACCAGGUAGUGGCUAGUUUAAUGACCAGGUGGGGGCUAGUUUAAUGACCAGGUAGUGGCUAGUUUAAUGACCAGGUAGUGGCUAGUUUAAUGACCAGGUGGUGGCUAGUUUAAUGACCAGGUAGUCGCUAGUUUAAUGACCAGGUAGUGGCUAGUUUAAUGACCAGGUGGGGGCUAGUUUAAUGACCAGGUGGGGGGCUAGUUUAAUGACCAGGUAGUGGCUAGUUUAAUGACCAGGUGGUGGCUAGUAUAACAGCAGGUGAGUUUCCCUUAUGACCCUCUACGAUAGACAUUCAGUAGUUCAGCUAGGGAGGUUGUGUCACAAAUGGUACCCUAUAUAGUGAACUACCUUUGACAAGAGCCCAUAGGUAGUGCACUACGUAGGGAAUAGGGUGCCAUUUGGGACCCCAAGAGAUGUCCACAGGACACAGUGGAGAGCCAGUGCAGAACCAGUACCUGAUUAUAGAUAUUGAUUUCGGAUAUACAGGCUAUAAUGUGUGUAUAAACAUGAAUAAAUUGCUUACGAAACAUGUAUAAACUG